Molecule: ribosomal RNA, 253 nt
Filed under: uncultured bacterium
Lineage: Bacteria
Description: partial 16S ribosomal RNA
Rfam family: Bacterial small subunit ribosomal RNA
Source: RNAcentral
UACGUAGGGGGCAAGCGUUGUCCGGAAUUAUUGGGCGUAAAGGGCGCGUAGGUGGUUCUGUAUGUCUACCGUGAAAGCGUACGGCUCAACCGUAUUUUGUCGGUGGAAACUGCAGGACUUGAGGCUGGGAGGGGCUGGUGGAAUUCCCUGUGUAGCGGUGAAAUGCGUAGAGAUGGGGGAGAACACUCGUGGCGAAGGCGGCCAGCUAGACCAGUUCUGACACUGAGGCGCGACAGCGUGGGGAGCAAACAGG